UUUUUUCUAAAACUGUUAUUUUGAAUUGGAAGUUCCCAAUUCCCCCAUGUCUGGGACCCUUUUAGGACGGUCAUCUAGAUUGUCAAUCUAAUGGGGCAGCACGUGUACGGGUGUGCCCCAAACUUUUAACCCUGCCUACUUCCAUUUAAUAAGUCGAUUGUUUAUGAUAAAUUAAAUUCGUAGAUGCGAUAAUCAGUUAUUACUGAUGAAGAUGGUCUCUUGAUAAGGCGUGGGAGGUGAAACUUUGGAGAAGCGAUCCAUCAGCAUCAGAGAACAAGGUCUUGAUAUCCUCAUCCAGGGUGGCACUCCUCACCAACAUGCCCGUGCCAGAGAAGAAUGCAUUGGUUGGCUCUCAAGAAGUACGUCAAACUAUGAGUGGUGUGGGCAUCCUGCCGUAUGCUCCAUUGGACAUCUGAUCACAUCAAGACUCACCUGCAUGCAUACAUGCGUUUAUAUAUAUGCACAUCAUGCAUCUAUGCAAGUCAUGGACAAUGCAACCUCUGCAUAUAAGUGCAAUGUAAACAGAUCAAGACAUCCGACCACGUACAAUUUACAACAUGAAUUUGGCCCACCCAUGGUUCGGAUAUGAAAUAUGUAAUUGUGAUUCACAGUUUCUGGGAAUUUUAGUAGUGGCUUGCAGAAAGAAA
Magnolia sinica is the source of this 647-nucleotide long non-coding RNA. RefSeq lists it as uncharacterized. The record is from RefSeq and is a predicted model, not a curated record. NCBI's taxonomy places the organism in Eukaryota, Viridiplantae, Streptophyta, Magnoliopsida, Magnoliales, Magnoliaceae. The transcript has 2 exons.